Molecule: non-coding RNA, 132 nt
Organism: Jatropha curcas
Lineage: Eukaryota; Viridiplantae; Streptophyta; Magnoliopsida; Malpighiales; Euphorbiaceae
Source: Rfam
CAAAAAAGAGCUUGUCAAACUAGCCAAGUUGACUGCCUGAAACCCCCAUAUAAGGGUUAUUUAUGAUACUCACAACCCAAAAUGGCUAGGAGCAGGCAAGUCAUCCUUGGCUAUCAAACAAGACUCUUAUUU